This 301-nucleotide ribosomal RNA is filed under the name uncultured bacterium. RNAcentral describes it as "partial 16S ribosomal RNA". It matches the Rfam family "Bacterial small subunit ribosomal RNA", at positions 509 to 809 of the family's 1533-position model. The record is from RNAcentral.
CAGCAGCCGCGGGAAUACGAAGGGUGCAAGCGUUAAUCGGAAUUACUGGGCGUAAAGCGUGCGUAGGCGGUGAGUUAAGUCUGCUGUGAAAUCCCCGGGCUCAACCUGGGAACUGCAUUUGUGACUGUAUAGCUAGAGUACGGCAGAGGGGGAUGGAAUUCCGCGUGUAGCAGUGAAAUGCGUAGAUAUGCGGAGGAACACCGAUGGCGAAGGCAAUCCCCUGGGCCUGUACUGACGCUCAUGCACGAAAGCGUGGGGAGCAAACAGGAUUAGAUACCCCGGUAGUCCCUGUCUCUUAUAU